Molecule: ribosomal RNA, 465 nt
Filed under: uncultured bacterium
Lineage: Bacteria
Description: partial 16S ribosomal RNA
Rfam family: Bacterial small subunit ribosomal RNA
Source: RNAcentral
GACGAACGCUGGCGGCGUGCUUAACACAUGCAAGUCGAACGGAAAGGCCCCCUUGUGGGGUACUCGAUUGGCGAACGGGUGAGUAACACGUGAGUAACCUACCCGUGACUUUGGGAUAACUUCAGGAAACUGGGGCUAAUACCGGAUAGGAGCUCCUGCGGCAUGGUGGGGGUUGGAAAGUUUCGGCGGUUGGGGAUGGACUCGCGGCUUAUCAGCUUGUUGGUGGGGUAGUGGCUCACCAAGGCUUUGACGGGUAGCCGGCCUGAGAGGGUGACCGGCCACAUUGGGACUGAGAUACGGCCCAGACUCCUACGGGAGGCAGCAGUGGGGAAUAUUGCACAAUGGGCGGAAGCCUGAUGCAGCAACGCCGCGUGCGGGAUGACGGCCUUCGGGUUGUAAACCGCUUUCGCCUGUGACGAAGCGUGAGUGACGGUAAUGGGUAAAGAAGCACCGGCUAACUACGUG